This 483-nucleotide ribosomal RNA is filed under the name uncultured Hyphomicrobiaceae bacterium. RNAcentral's name for it is "bacterial SSU rRNA". It matches the Rfam family "Bacterial small subunit ribosomal RNA", at positions 1 to 527 of the family's 1533-position model. The record is from RNAcentral. Lineage: Bacteria; Pseudomonadati; Pseudomonadota; Alphaproteobacteria; Hyphomicrobiales; Hyphomicrobiaceae.
UAGGGUUUGAUCCUGGCUCAGAACGAACGCUGGCGGCAGGCUUAACACAUGCAAGUCGAACGAGAGGCUUACUUCGGUAAGUGGAAAGUGGCAGACGGGUGAGUAACGCGUGGCAACCUACCUUUUUCUACGGAACAACUAGUUGGAAACGACUGCUAAUACCGUAUACGCCCUCCGGGGGAAAGAUUUAUCGGUGAAAGAUGGGGCCGCGUUAGAUUAGCUAGUUGGUGAGGUAAUGGCUCACCAAGGCGACGAUCUAUAGCUGGUCUGAGAGGAUGAUUAGCCACACUGGGACUGAGACACGGCCCAGACAACUACGGUUGGCAGCAGUGAGAAUAUUGGACAAUGAAAGCAACCCUGAUCCAGCCAUGCCGCGUGAAUGAUGAAGGCCUUAGGGUUGUAAAAUCUUUCGCUAGAGAUGAUAAUGACGGUACCUAGUAAAGAAGCCCCGGCUAACUCCGUGCCAGCCGCCGCGGUAAUACA